AGAGUUUGAUCAUGGCUCAGGAUGUACGCUAGCUACAGGCUUAACACAUGCAAGUCGCGGGGCAGCAUGGAUUUAGCUUGCUAAAUUCGAUGGCGACCGGCGCACGGGUGAGUAACGCGUAUCCAACCUGCCCAUCUCCACGGGAUAGCCCGUCGAAAGGCGGAUUAAUACCGUAUGAGGUCACGAGACGGCAUCAGACCGUGACGAAAGGUUUAGCGGAGAUGGAUGGGGAUGCGUCCGAUUAGCUAGUUGGCGGGGUAACGGCCCACCAAGGCGACGAUCGGUAGGGGUUCUGAGAGGAAGGUCCCCCACAUUGGAACUGAGACACGGUCCAAACUCCUACGGGAGGCAGCAGUGAGGAAUAUUGGUCAAUGGGCGCGAGCCUGAACCAGCCAAGUAGCGUGCAGGACGACGGCCCUAUGGGUUGUAAACUGCUUUUAUGCGGGGAUAAAAUGUGCCACGUGUGGCAUAUUGCAGGUACCGCAUGAAUAAGGACCGGCUAAUUCCGUGCCAGCAGCCGCGGUAAUACGGAAGGUCCGGGCGUUAUCCGGAUUUAUUGGGUUUAAAGGGAGCGUAGGCCGCCUUUUAAGCGUGUUGUGAAAAACCGGGGCUCAACUCCGGUCGUGCAGCGCGAACUGGAGGGCUUGAGUCCGCAGAAAGUGCGCGGAAUUCGUGGUGUAGCGGUGAAAUGCUUAGAUAUCACGAAGAACCCCGAUUGCGAAGGCAGCGCACUGUAGCGUCACCGACGCUGAAGCUCGAAAGUGCGGGUAUCGAACAGGAUUAGAUACCCUGGUAGUCCGCACGGUAAACGAUGGAUGCCCGCUGUUCCGGCAUUAGCUGGAGUGGCCAAGCGAAAGCGUUAAGCA
Molecule: ribosomal RNA, 866 nt
Filed under: uncultured bacterium
Lineage: Bacteria
Description: bacterial SSU rRNA
Rfam family: Bacterial small subunit ribosomal RNA
Source: RNAcentral